Long non-coding RNA from Rosa rugosa (rugosa rose), 651 nucleotides. RefSeq lists it as uncharacterized. The record is from RefSeq and is a predicted model, not a curated record. The transcript is spliced from 2 exons. NCBI's taxonomy places the organism in Eukaryota, Viridiplantae, Streptophyta, Magnoliopsida, Rosales, Rosaceae.
CUCUCUCUCUCUCAAGUUCUUAGAAGCAAAGCUCUCUCCAUUUUCUGAAACACUUUCUAUGUUCCUUUUACAACACGUUAUCAGCACGAAUAGCUCUACGAUUCGGAUUGCAGAUUGACAAGAGGAGAGGUGAAUAACUUGGGUUGCAGAGAAGAGGCAGUUCAUCUUUCAAUCAUCUUCACUCUACCAGCUCUACAACCAAAAGCUCAAAUCAAGCCCAAAGCCACAAUAACAAACCCGAGCCAGAAGCUCAGGCCCAAGCUACAAGACCAUAACAGAAGCUCGCCAUGUGUUGCCAUGACAAAGACCAGUUUGAGCCCAGCAGGCCUACUCUCCCUCUGCAGGACCUAGCAGCCCAGCAGGCCUCACACACUCUUUGACUAGUGCAUGAAAGCUUUGGUCACGAGCUCACAGCUAAGCCCCGUAGAGUUUAUUAUCAAGCCCACUCUUUCUUUGGUCCAGCAGAACCAAAUAAAAGAAAAAAUGAUUUGAUUCUACUGAGAUUUGAACCCAGACAAUGUGCAUGUCAUUAUGGCUAUUGUAAAUAAAUUCACCAUAUUUCAUAUGUGUAAUUAAUUGCCAGAAGCAUUUAUUCACAUAAUUGUGUGACAAUUAAUAUGUUAUAUUACUAGCAUGCAAUUAAUAUCUCAA